GAUGAAGAACGCAGCUAAAUGCGAUAAGUAAUGUGAAUUGCAGAAUUCAGUGAAUCAUCGAAUCUUUGAACGCACAUUGCGCCCAUUAGUAUUCUAGUGGGCAUGCCUGUUCGAGCGUCAUUAAGUCCACUUAAGCCCUGCUUAGUGUUGGGAGACUGCUCCAGCGGUGCUACCCUGUAGCUACCCUGCAGCUCCUCAAAGACAGCGGCGGAGUUGUGGUAUCCUCUGAGCUUAGUAACUUGUUCUAGCUUUCGAGUACACCACUUCCCCUGCCGUAAAACCCUUAAUUUUUAAUGGUUGACCUCGGAUCAGGUAGGAAUACCCGCUGAACUUAAGCAUAUCAAUAAGCGGAGGA
This 355-nucleotide unclassified non-coding RNA is filed under the name soil metagenome. RNAcentral's name for it is "partial contains 5.8S ribosomal RNA, internal transcribed spacer 2, and large subunit ribosomal RNA". The stretch from base 1 to 120 matches the Rfam family "5.8S ribosomal RNA", at positions 35 to 154 of the family's 154-position model. The record is from RNAcentral.